GUCGGCGUAAAGCAGCCCGGUAGCUCGCCAGUCCCAAGCUGGAGGUCUCAAGUUCGAAUCUUGCCACCGCG
This 71-nucleotide transfer RNA is filed under the name Ensifer meliloti. RNAcentral's name for it is "Sinorhizobium meliloti tRNA-Trp". The record is from RNAcentral. Lineage: Bacteria; Pseudomonadati; Pseudomonadota; Alphaproteobacteria; Hyphomicrobiales; Rhizobiaceae.